GUUGAGAAAAUCCACUCCUAAGGAAGUCAAGACGGAGUUUCACCAUGUUAGCCAGGACGGUCUCGAUCUCCUGACCUCGUGAUCCACCCGCCUCAGCCUCCUCAAAGUGCUGGGAUUACAGGCGUGAGCCACCGCCCCCGGUCAGUGGACAUAUGCUUUCAUUUCCCUUGAUUAAAUACCUAAGGACGGAAUGGCUGAGUCACAUGUGCCUUGGUGACUGUUAAGUAAAAGCAAGUAUAUACUCAUUUCUCUCCACACUUCCCACAUACUUACCAAGCAAAAAGCCCAUGAAAAAUCUGCAGCAGCUUCUGAUAGCAGGAAGACAUUAUGUGGUACUCCUGAACUUUCACUCCUGGUCCAUCAACUACACUGUGAUUCUCAGCAGCUAAACACUAAAAAUAAAAAUGAUUUUAGGACA
RNAcentral lists this small RNA (418 nucleotides) under Pongo abelii (Sumatran orangutan). RNAcentral's name for it is "processed transcript". The record is from RNAcentral. Lineage: Eukaryota; Metazoa; Chordata; Mammalia; Primates; Hominidae.